GUGACGAAGCGACGCCGCGUGUGGGAAGAAGGCCUUCGGGUUGUAAACCACUGUCAGGAGUUAAGAAAUGUAAGGGUGCUAAUAGUAUCCUUACUUGACUAAGGCUCCAGAGGAAGCCACGGCUAACUCUGUGCCAGCAGCCGCGGUAAUACAGAGGUGGCAAGCGUUGUUCGGAAUUAUUGGGCGUAAAGAGCACGUAGGCGGUUCUGCAAGUCGGCUGUGAAAGCCUUCCGCUCAACGGAAGAACAGCAGUUGAUACUACAGGACUAGAGUGCGGGAGGGGAGAGUGGAACUUCUGGUGGAGCGGUGAAAUGCGUAGAUAUCAGAAGGAACGCCGGCGGCGAAAGCGACUCUCUGGCCCGUAACUGACGCUGAGUGUGCGAAAGCUAGGGGAGCAAACGGGAUUAGAUACCCCGGUAGUCUUAGCCGUAAACGAU
RNAcentral lists this ribosomal RNA (437 nucleotides) under uncultured bacterium. RNAcentral's name for it is "bacterial SSU rRNA". It matches the Rfam family "Bacterial small subunit ribosomal RNA", at positions 383 to 810 of the family's 1533-position model. The record is from RNAcentral.